GAUGAACGCUGGCGGCGUGCCUAAUACAUGCAAGUCGAGCGAACAGACGAGGAGCUUGCUCCUCUGACGUUAGCGGCGGACGGGUGAGUAACACGUGGAUAACCUACCUAUAAGACUGGGAUAACUUCGGGAAACCGGAGCUAAUACCGUAUAAUAUAUUGAACCGCAUGGUUCAAUAGUGAAAGACGGUUUUGCUGUCACUUAUAGAUGGAUCCGCGCCUCAUUAGCUAGUUGGUAAGGUAACGGCUUACCAAGGCAACGAUGCGUAGCCGACCUGAGAGGGUGAUCGGCCACACUGGAACGGAGCCACGCUCCAGACUCCUACGGGAGGCAGCAGUAGGGAAUCUUCCGCAAUGGGCGAAAGCAUGACGGAGCAACGCCGCGUGAGUGAUGAAGGUGUUCGGAUCGUAAAACUCUGUUAUUAGGGAAGAACAAAUGUGUAAGUAACUAUGCACGUCUUGACGGUACCUAAUCAGAAAGCCACGGCUAACUACGUG
This 497-nucleotide ribosomal RNA is filed under the name uncultured bacterium. RNAcentral's name for it is "partial 16S ribosomal RNA". It matches the Rfam family "Bacterial small subunit ribosomal RNA", at positions 28 to 507 of the family's 1533-position model. The record is from RNAcentral.